Molecule: transfer RNA, 63 nt
Filed under: Glypthelmins quieta
Lineage: Eukaryota; Metazoa; Platyhelminthes; Trematoda; Plagiorchiida; Plagiorchiidae
Description: tRNA-Asn
Source: RNAcentral
GUGCGUAUAGAUUAUUUGAAAUCGUAAGGCUGUUAACCUUAAGAAGGAGGCUUCCUGCGGACG